RNAcentral lists this ribosomal RNA (547 nucleotides) under Oscillochloris sp. RNAcentral describes it as "bacterial SSU rRNA". It matches the Rfam family "Bacterial small subunit ribosomal RNA", at positions 976 to 1533 of the family's 1533-position model. The record is from RNAcentral. Lineage: Bacteria; Bacillati; Chloroflexota; Chloroflexia; Chloroflexales; Oscillochloridaceae.
CAGGCUUGACAUGCAGCUGCAGGCGGCGGAAACGUCGCGGCCUUCGAGGGUGCUGCACAGGUGCUGCAUGGUUGUCGUCAGCUCGUGUCGUGAGAUGUUGGGUUAAGUCCCGCAACGAGCGCAACCCGUACCGCUAGUUACUGGUGUCUAGCGGGACUGCCGCGUUUUGCGCGGAGGAAGGCGCGGAUGACGUCAAAUCCGCAUGGCCCUUACGCCUGGGGCGACACACACGCUACAAUGGCCAGGACAGUGCGUCGCCAACCCGCAAGGGGGAGCAAAUCGCCCAAACCUGGUCUCAGUGCAGAUCGAGGGCUGCAACUCGCCCUCGUGAAGGCGGAGUUGCUAGUAACCGCGUAUCAGCGAUGGCGCGGUGAAUACGUUCCCGGGCCUUGUACACACCGCCCGUCACGUCAUGGGAGUGGCCAAUGCUUGAAGUCCGUGGGCUAACCCUUCGGGGAGGCAGCGGCCGAGGGCAGGGGUCGCGACUGGGACGAAGUCGUAACAAGGUAGCCGUACCGGAAGGUGCGGCUGGAUCACCUCCUUUCUA